GCGGCGUGGAGGUGUAUGAUAUGUUUCGUCUUUGUUGCUUUAAGUCUUAAAGUACUCCUUAGCCACAUUAAUAAAAGUCACAGUCGCAGCCCGGAUUUUGGGGUUUACUGUGGUAUUGAUGGAUGUGAACAGGACUUUAGAGUUUUUAACUCUUUCUUUCGCCACAUUAAACGGACGCACCUUCAGUAUUUGAGGACUGGAUGCCCACCAAGCGGAUGGAGUACGACGCCUUCUUCUCGGUCUUUGGGACAGGAAACAUUUGGUGUUUCGGUGUUUUCCAGCUGUAGCACUCCUGCAGCGGCCAGCACUACGGCUGUCCCACCUGAUGCCUCUUUACCUGAACCGUCACCACAGCCUGAAGCUGACGGCCGCCUUGAGUCCGAAGACGCUGUUGCUGUGACCUCCAGAACCAGACCUGAUAUAGCUAGAUCCGCAGCGGCAUUCGCCAUCAGUGUCCGGGAACAGUGCCAGUUAUCACAGAGAACUGUCAACAGUGUCAUCUCAGGGGUGCAACAGUACCAAGCUGCUCUCAUUGACACACUAAGGGAGAGAAUCAGAAGGGUGUUUGAAGAGAAUCCAGACACAACUGCUCAGCUCCAAGGGGAGGCUUUGGCUACGUUUGAUGCGUUCAUGGAUCCUUUCUCAACCACAGCAUAUGGACAGAAUAAAACCAUCCGGGAACUAUUCAAUCCAGUCAACCCAGAGGAAGUUGUGGUGUCCCAGAAGAUUUGUUGGGUAAAGCGUGGUCUUUCAAGGGUCAUGGCCUUAAGAGGCAAAAGUUUUUACUAUGUACCACUCAUUCAAAGUCUUAAGCAGUUACUGACCAAUCCCAGAAUCUUCACCAUGUACUUAACCACUGUACCACAAAGAAGUGAGGGAUUCUUGUAUGAUUUUACUGAUGGAGCCCUUUUUACAUCCCAUCCAUUAUAUUCUCAAAGGCCAAAUGCAUUGCAAAUACUAUUGUACACCGAUGAAAUUGAAAUAUGUAACCCUUUAGGCGCCCAUGCC
Long non-coding RNA from Gasterosteus aculeatus aculeatus (three-spined stickleback), 1008 nucleotides. The record is from Ensembl. Lineage: Eukaryota; Metazoa; Chordata; Actinopteri; Perciformes; Gasterosteidae.